UACCCGCACCCCGAGUGGUCGGGACGUUUAUUGGGCCUAAAGCAUCCGUAGCCGGUUCUACGAGUCUUCCGUUAAAUCCAACUGCUUAACAGGUGGGCUGCGGAAGAUACUAUAGAGCUAGGAGGCGGGAGAGGCAAGCGGUACUCGAUGGGUAGGGGUAAAAUCCGUUGAUCCAUUGAAGACCACCAGUGGCGAAGGCGGCUUGCCAGAACGCGCUCGACGGUGAGGGAUGAAAGCUGGGGGAGCAAACCGG
Molecule: ribosomal RNA, 253 nt
Filed under: uncultured bacterium
Lineage: Bacteria
Description: partial 16S ribosomal RNA
Rfam family: Archaeal small subunit ribosomal RNA
Source: RNAcentral